This 249-nucleotide non-coding RNA is filed under the name Desulfosporosinus sp. Its description in RNAcentral is "T-box sequence". It matches the Rfam family "T-box leader". From Rfam's summary of the family: Uncharged tRNA acts as the effector for transcription antitermination of genes in the T-box leader family. T-boxes are found upstream of many aminoacyl-tRNA synthetase genes and some amino acid biosynthetic genes usually in Gram-positive bacteria. The record is from RNAcentral. Lineage: Bacteria; Bacillati; Bacillota; Clostridia; Eubacteriales; Desulfitobacteriaceae.
CAUAAACUUUUGAUUGAGAAGAGUACAUACUUAUGAUUGUUUUUCAGAGAGUUGCAGGCGGUGUGAUUGCAAUAAACGGCUUUGUAUGGAAUGGACUCAUAAAGGUGGGAGGAAAGGUCUUUGACUGAGUAAUGCCCAACGGGAUUUCCACCCGUUAUCAAUGGAAUGCGUAUGAUAGUACGUAUUUGAGGGGAUGCGUUUGCAUCAAUCUAGGUGGUACCGCAGAAGUUUAAGGCUUUUGUCCUAUUA